This 1430-nucleotide ribosomal RNA is filed under the name uncultured Bordetella sp. Its description in RNAcentral is "partial 16S-23S ribosomal RNA intergenic spacer". It matches the Rfam family "Bacterial small subunit ribosomal RNA". The record is from RNAcentral. Lineage: Bacteria; Pseudomonadati; Pseudomonadota; Betaproteobacteria; Burkholderiales; Alcaligenaceae.
GAUGAUGUGGCUCAGAUUGAACGUGGCAGGAUGCUUUACGCCCCAGUCGAACGGCAGCACGGACUUCGGUCUGGUGGCGAGUGGCGAACAGGUGAGUAAUGUAUCGGAACGUGCCUGGUGGCGGGGGAUAGCUACGCGAAAGCGUAACUAAUACCACGCCGCCCUUCGGGGAAAGCGGGACCUUCGGGCCUCGCACUAUUAAACCGGCCGAUAUCCGGUUAGCUGGUUGAGGUAACAGCUCACCAAGGCGACGAUCCGUAGCUGGUUUAGGAAGGACGACCGGCUACGCUCAGGACUGGGGCCACAGCCAGACUCCUACAGGGAGAGCAGCAGUGGGGGUACGGACAAUGGGGAAACCUGAUCAACGUAUCCGCAUUGUGCGAUGAGGCCUUCGGAGUUGUAAGCACUUUUGGCAGGAAAAGCGGCACAGGAUAUGCGUGCAACUGACCAAUGCCUGCAGAAUAAGCACCGGCUAACUACGUGCCAGCAACCGCGGUAAUGCGUGAGGGUGCAAGCGUUAAUCGGAAUUACUGGGCGUAAAGCGUGCGCAGGUUCCGGAAAGAAAGAUGUGAAAUCCCCGGAAACUUAACUUUGGAACUGCAUUUUUGGCUUUCUUACGAAGAGCUAGAGAGUGUGUCAGAGAAUUGGGUGCGAUGUGGCGGUGAAAUGCGUGAAUGUGCGGAGAGACACCGAUGGCAGGCAGCCUCCUGGAUAACGCUGACACGCUCAUGCACGAAAGCGUGAGAACAAACAGGAUUAGAUACCCUGAUGAUCUUUGCCUAAACGAUGUCAACUAUUUGUUGGGCCUUCGGGCCUUGGUAGCCGCAGCUAACGCGUGAAGUUGACCGCACCAGAGUACGGUCGCCGGAGUUAAAACUCAAAGGGAAUGACAGGGGCCCGCCACAAGCGGUGGAUGAUGUGGAUUCGUUCCGUUGACAUGAAAACCACCUACCGCGGGCGUGCCGGGUCAGAGAUUUGGGGUGCUGCAAGAGAACCGGAACACAGGUGCUGCAUGGCUGUCGUCGACUCGUGUCGUGGAUGUUGGGUUAAGUCCGCAACGAGCUGCCCCUGUCGUGGUGCUACGAGAAGGGCACUCUAAUGAGACUGCCGGUGACAAGCCAGGAGGAAGGUGAGGAUGACGUCUGAUCCUCUUGGCCCUUAUGGGUAGGGCUUCACGUCUACGGUGGUCGGGACAGAGGGUCGCCAACCCGCGAGGGCCAAUCCCAGAAACCGGUCGUAGUCCGGAUCGCGGUCUGCGGCUCGACUGCGUGAAGUCGGAUGCUAGUAAUCGCCGGAUCAGCAUGUCGCGGUGAAUACGUUCAGCGGUCUUGGCACAGCAGAUGCUGCCGUGGGAGUACGGAAAUUAGUUAUUUCUUAUGGGCGGUUACCACGGUAGGAUUCAUGACUGGGGUGAAGUCGUAACAAGGUAG